UACGGGGGGGGCAAGCGUUGUUCGGAAUUACUGGGCGUAAAGAGCUCGUAGGCGGUUCGGUAAGUCGGGUGUGAAAACUUUGGGCUCAACCCAAAGCCUGCACUCGAUACUGCUGUGACUUGAGUCCGGUAGGGGAGUGGGGAAUUCCUGGUGUAGCGGUGGAAUGCGCAGAUAUCAGGAGGAACACCGGUGGCGAAGGCGCCACUCUGGGCCGGUACUGACGCUGAGGAGCGAAAGCGUGGGGAGCAAACAGG
RNAcentral lists this ribosomal RNA (254 nucleotides) under uncultured bacterium. Its description in RNAcentral is "partial 16S ribosomal RNA". It matches the Rfam family "Bacterial small subunit ribosomal RNA", at positions 524 to 776 of the family's 1533-position model. The record is from RNAcentral.